UGAGUUUGAUCCUGGCUCAGAAUGAACGUUGGCGGCGUGGAUUAGGCAUGCAAGUCGUACGCACCGCAAGGUGAGUGGCGCAAGGGUGAGUAAGGCGACGGUAACCAACCCCAUGGUUGGGCAUAGCCGGGAGAAAUCCCGGGUAAUUCCCAGCGACGUCGCGGGAUGGCAUUCUCCUGCGACCAAAGGUGCGAUUCCGCCGUGGGACGGGCCGUCGUGGUAUUAGGUAGUUGGCGGGGUAACGGCCCACCAAGCCUUCGAUGCCUACCGGGCGUGCGAGCGUGGCCCGGCACACUGGGACUGAGACACUGCCCAGACUCCUACGGGAGGCUGCAGUCGAGAAUCUUCGGCAAUGGGCGCAAGCCUGACCGAGCGACGCCGCGUGGAGGAUGAAGGCCUUCGGGUUGUAAACUCCUGUCGAGGGGAAGGAAGGGGCCGAAAGGCCCUUGACCGCUCCCUGGAGGAAGCACGGGCUAAGUUCGUGCCAGCAGCCGCGGUAAGACGAACCGUGCGAACGUUAUUCGGAAUCACUGGGCUUAAAGCGCGUGUAGGCGGGGCGGUGCGUCGGUCGCUGAAAUCCCCCGGCUCAACCGGGGAAGGGGCGCCGAUACGACCGGCCUGGAGCGACGUAGGGGGAACUGGAACUUCCGGUGGAGCGGUGAAAUGCGUUGAGAUCGGAAGGAACGCCCGUGGCGAAAGCGAGGUCCUGGACACUUUCUGACGCUGAGACGUGAAAGCCAGGGGAGCAAACGGGAUUAGAUACCCCGGUAGUCCUGGCCGUAAACGAUGAGCACUGGGUAGGGGGCUCGCCGAUGGGCUCCUGCCGCAGG
This 830-nucleotide ribosomal RNA is filed under the name uncultured bacterium. Its description in RNAcentral is "bacterial SSU rRNA". It matches the Rfam family "Bacterial small subunit ribosomal RNA", at positions 1 to 852 of the family's 1533-position model. The record is from RNAcentral.